Molecule: ribosomal RNA, 696 nt
Filed under: uncultured bacterium
Lineage: Bacteria
Description: bacterial SSU rRNA
Rfam family: Bacterial small subunit ribosomal RNA
Source: RNAcentral
AACGCUAGCUACAGGCUUAACACAUGCAAGUCGAGGGGAAACGAUAUUGGAAGCUUGCUUCCGAUAGGCGUCGACCGGCGCACGGGUGAGUAACGCGUAUCCAACCUGCCCACCACUUGGGGAUAACCUUGCGAAAGUAAGACUAAUACCCAAUGAUAUCUCUAGAAGACAUCUGAAAGAGAUUAAAGAUUUAUCGGUGAUGGAUGGGGAUGCGUCUGAUUAGCUUGUUGGCGGGGUAACGGCCCACCAAGGCUACGAUCAGUAGGGGUUCUGAGAGGAAGGUCCCCCACAUUGGAACUGAGACACGGUCCAAACUCCUACGGGAGGCAGCAGUGAGGAAUAUUGGUCAAUGGACGAGAGUCUGAACCAGCCAAGUAGCGUGCAGGAUGACGGCCCUAUGGGUUGUAAACUGCUUUUAUAAGGGAAUAAAGUGAGUCUCGUGAGACUUUUUGCAUGUACCUUAUGAAUAAGGACCGGCUAAUUCCGUGCCAGCAGCCGCGGUAAUACGGAAGGUCCGGGCGUUAUCCGGAUUUAUUGGGUUUAAAGGGAGCGUAGGCCGGAGAUUAAGCGUGUUGUGAAAUGUAGAUGCUCAACAUCUGCACUGCAGCGCGAACUGGUUUCCUUGAGUACGCACAAAGUGGGCGGAAUUCGUGGUGUAGCGGUGAAAUGCUUAGAUAUCACGAAGAACUCCGAUUG